This 389-nucleotide ribosomal RNA is filed under the name uncultured bacterium. RNAcentral's name for it is "bacterial SSU rRNA". It matches the Rfam family "Bacterial small subunit ribosomal RNA", at positions 28 to 417 of the family's 1533-position model. The record is from RNAcentral.
GACGAACGCUGGCGGCGUGCUUAACACAUGCAAGUCGAGCGGUAAGGCCCUUUCGGGGGUACACGAGCGGCGAACGGGUGAGUAACACGUGGGUGACCUGCCCUCAGCUCUGGGAUAAGCCUGGGAAACCGGGUCUAAUACUGGAUAUGACUCCAUGACGCAUGUUGUGGGGUGGAAAGCCUUGUGCGGCUGAGGAUGGGCCCGCGGCCUAUCAGCUUGUUGGUGGGGUGANGGCCUACCAAGGCGACGACGGGUAGCCGGCCUGAGAGGGCGACCGGCCACACUGGGACUGAGACACGGCCCAGACUCCGUACGGGAGGCAGCAGUGGGGAAUCUUGCGCAAUGGGCGAAAGCCUGACGCAGCGACGCCGCGUGAGGGAUGACGGCCU